This 134-nucleotide ribosomal RNA is filed under the name Prolemur simus (greater bamboo lemur). Lineage: Eukaryota; Metazoa; Chordata; Mammalia; Primates; Lemuridae. The record is from RNAcentral.
UAUGGCCAUACCACCCUGAAGGCACCCGAUCUCAUCUGAUCUCAUGAAGCUAAGCAGGGUUGGGCCUGGUUAGUACUUGGAUGGGAGAAUGAAUAAUGACAAUAACUAGGAAAAUACAAAUGGUGCAACUAUGU